UGUCGUAGCCUGGGUCCAGUUGGAGCACCAUGAUGCUUAGACGAAAGGUGGAGUAAGGAAUAUAUUUGAACACUGUAAAAAAUACAAUGCAUGGUGAGUAACCUUCUAGGAUUAAGUGAACUGUUACUAUCAAAUAAAGCUGCUACUUAUCAGAAGCUGACCAAAUAGAAAUGCAGACAGACUUAGUCAAUUUAUUAGCAAUCUAAGUAACCUGAAGAAGUCCGGUAAGUAGAACAAGUCGGGCGGGAGGCACAAGCAUGAGUGAAUCUGCGAACUGUUGCACUCAAAAUCUGCUUAAAGUUCAAGAUAGAAUAAAGUCGAGGAACUCAAUGAUUGACUGUUGAUGCUUUGAAUUAAAGUACCUUCAAGUUCAUAAUGUAUUCAUGCCUUCAAGUUCGCCAUCUCUCUUGCGUUCAUGUUGCAUCUAUUAUAUCCAUCUGAUCAUCUCCCAGGCCUCAAAAACACCAGAGCUAGCGGUCAUUUCAUUUGCGAAUGGGUAAUGCAAGAAGCAAAGCCGGUGAACAUGAACAAGAAGACGGCAUAGCUACAGGUAGUGUUCACUGUACUAUGAAUACUAGCUUUUCUGCUAAUAUUGCGCUUCUUGCAUAAUGUAUUGCAGAUCAGACGAGCGUAAAACAUGCUGAAGAAUACAACGCAAACUUGAUACCCGUUGAUGAACAAGUAGAUGCUAUU
RNAcentral lists this long non-coding RNA (693 nucleotides) under Triticum aestivum (bread wheat). RNAcentral's name for it is "long non-coding RNA (TAES_LNC027813)". The record is from RNAcentral. Lineage: Eukaryota; Viridiplantae; Streptophyta; Magnoliopsida; Poales; Poaceae.